This 1372-nucleotide ribosomal RNA is filed under the name uncultured bacterium. Its description in RNAcentral is "bacterial SSU rRNA". It matches the Rfam family "Bacterial small subunit ribosomal RNA", at positions 28 to 1381 of the family's 1533-position model. The record is from RNAcentral.
GAUGAACGCUGGCGGCGUGCCUAAUACAUGCAAGUCGAGCGAACGGACGAGAAGCUUGCUUCUCUGAUGUUAGCGGCGGACGGGUGAGUAACACGUGGAUAACCUACCUAUAAGACUGGGAUAACUUCGGGAAACCGUAGCUAAUACCGGAUAAUAUUUUGAACCGCAUGGUUCAAAAGUGAAAGACGGUCUUGCUGUCACUUAUAGAUGGAUCCGCGCUGCAUUAGCUAGUUGGUAAGGUAACGGCUUACCAAGGCAACGAUGCAUAGCCGACCUGAGAGGGUGAUCGGCCACACUGGAACUGAGACACGGUCCAGACUCCUACGGGAGGCAGCAGUAGGGAAUCUUCCGCAAUGGGCGAAAGCCUGACGGAGCAACGCCGCGUGAGUGAUGAAGGUCUUCGGAUCGUAAAACUCUGUUAUUAGGGAAGAACAUAUGUGUAAGUAACUGUGCACAUCUUGACGGUACCUAAUCAGAAAGCCACGGCUAACUACGUGCCAGCAGCCGCGGUAAUACGUAGGUGGCAAGCGUUAUCCGGAAUUAUUGGGCGUAAAGCGCGCGUAGGCGGUUUUUUAAGUCUGAUGUGAAAGCCCACGGCUCAACCGUGGAGGGUCAUUGGAAACUGGAAAACUUGAGUGCAGAAGAGGAAAGUGGAAUUCCAUGUGUAGCGGUGAAAUGCGCAGAGAUAUGGAGGAACACCAGUGGCGAAGGCGACUUUCUGGUCUGUAACUGACGCUGAUGUGCGAAAGCGUGGGGAUCAAACAGGAUUAGAUACCCUGGUAGUCCACGCCGUAAACGAUGAGUGCUAAGUGUUAGGGGGUUUCCGCCCCUUAGUGCUGCAGCUAACGCAUUAAGCACUCCGCCUGGGGAGUACGACCGCAAGGUUGAAACUCAAAGGAAUUGACGGGGACCCGCACAAGCGGUGGAGCAUGUGGUUUAAUUCGAAGCAACGCGAAGAACCUUACCAAAUCUUGACAUCCUUUGACAACUCUAGAGAUAGAGCUUUCCCCUUCGGGGGACAAAGUGACAGGUGGUGCAUGGUUGUCGUCAGCUCGUGUCGUGAGAUGUUGGGUUAAGUCCCGCAACGAGCGCAACCCUUAAGCUUAGUUGCCAUCAUUAAGUUGGGCACUCUAAGUUGACUGCCGGUGACAAACCGGAGGAAGGUGGGGAUGACGUCAAAUCAUCAUGCCCCUUAUGAUUUGGGCUACACACGUGCUGCAAUGGGCAAUACAAAGGGCAGCGAAACCGUGAGGUCAAGCAAAUCCCAUAAAGUUGUUCUCAGUUCGGAUUGUAGUCUGCAACUCGACUACAUGAAGCUGGAAUCGCUAGUAAUCGUAGAUCAGCAUGCUACGGUGAAUACGUUCCCGGGUCU